This 423-nucleotide ribosomal RNA is filed under the name uncultured bacterium. RNAcentral describes it as "bacterial SSU rRNA". It matches the Rfam family "Bacterial small subunit ribosomal RNA", at positions 359 to 774 of the family's 1533-position model. The record is from RNAcentral.
GAAUAUUCCGCAAUGGACGGAAGUCUGACGGAGCGACGCCGCGUGGAUGACGAAGGCCGAAAGGUUGUAAAGUUCUUUUGCUGGGGAAGAAUAACCGCAGGAGGGAAUGCCUGUGGGAUGACAAGAACCGGCGAAUAAGCCCCGGCCAACUACGUGCUAGCAGCCGCGGUAACACGUAGGGGGCGAGCGUUGUCCGGAAUUACUGGGCGUAAAGGGCAUGUAGGCGGGUUGGAAAGCCUGGCGUGAAAGUCUGCAGCUUAACUGCAGGGGUGCGCUGGGAACAGCGGAGCUUGAGUGACGGAGAGGGAGCUGGAAUUCCUGGUGUCGGGGUGAAAUCUGUAGAUAUCAGGAAGAAGACGGAUGGAGAAGGCAAGCUCCUGGCCGAUGACUGACGCUGAGGUGCGAAAGUGUGGGGAUCAAACA